AAGGACGAACGCUGGCGGGCGUGCCUAACACAUGCAAGCUUGGGAGAAAGAGGUAAGCAAUAUCUUGAGUAAACCGGCGCAAGGGUGAGUAACACGUAGGUAAUCUGCCUUGAGGACGGGAAUAACUUCGAGAAAUCGAGGCUAAUGCCCGAUGAAAUUCCGAUACAGCAUUGUAUUGGGAUCAAAAGCCGUAAGGCGCCUUUAGAUGAACCUGCGUCCCAUUAGGCAGUUGGUGAGGUAACGGCCCACCAAGCCGACGAUGGGUAGCUGGUCUGAGAGGACGAUCAGCCACACUGGAACUGAGACACGGUCCAGACUCCUACGGGAGGCAGCAGUGAGGAAUAUUGCGCAAUGCCCGAAAGGGUGACGCAGCGACGCCGCGUGGAGGAUGAAGGCCCUACGGGUCGUAAACUCCUUUUGUGAGGGAAUAAUUUCCUGCUAUAGGCGGGAUUGAAUGUACCUCAGGAAAAAGCAUCGGCUAACUACGUGCCAGCCGCCGC
This 500-nucleotide ribosomal RNA is filed under the name uncultured bacterium. RNAcentral describes it as "bacterial SSU rRNA". It matches the Rfam family "Bacterial small subunit ribosomal RNA", at positions 26 to 518 of the family's 1533-position model. The record is from RNAcentral.